CUAGAUUAGAGUUUGAUCCUGGCUCAGAGCGAACGCUGGCGGCAGGCCUAACACAUGCAAGUCGAACGGACCCUUCGGGGUUAGUGGCGGACGGGUGAGUAACACGUGGGAACGUGCCUUUAGGUUCGGAAUAGCUCCUGGAAACGGGUGGUAAUGCCGAAUGUGCCCUUCGGGGGAAAGAUUUAUCGCCUUUAGAGCGGCCCGCGUCUGAUUAGCUAGUUGGUGGGGUAAUGGCCCACCAAGGCUACGAUCAGUAGCUGGUCUGAGAGGAUGACCAGCCACAUUGGGACUGAGACACGGCCCAAACUCCUACGGGAGGCAGCAGUGGGGAAUCUUGCGCAAUGGGCGAAAGCCUGACGCAGCCAUGCCGCGUGUAUGAUGAAGGUCUUAGGAUUGUAAAAUACUUCCACCGGUGAAGAUAAUGACUGUAGCCGGAGAAGAAGCCCCGGCUAACUUCGUGCCAGCAGCCGCGGUAAUACGAAGGGGGCUAGCGUUGCUCGGAAUUACUGGGCGUAAAGGGAGCGUAGGCGGACAUUUAAGUCAGAGGUGAAAUCCCGGAGCUUAACUUCGGAACUGCCUUUGAUACUGGAUGUCUUGAGUGUGAGAGAGGUAUGUGGAACUCCGAGUGUAGAGGUGAAAUUCGUAGAUAUUCGGAAGAACACCAGUGGCGAAGGCGACAUACUGGCUCAUUACUGACGCUGAGGCUCGAAAGCGUGGGGAGCAACAGGAUUAGAUACCCUGGUAGUCCACGCCGUAAACGAUGAUUGCUAGUUGUCGGGAAGCUUGCUUCUCGGUGACGCAGCUAACGCAUUAACAAUCCGCCUGGGGGAGUACGGUCCAAGAUUAAAACUCAAAAGGAAUUUGACGGGGGCCCC
This 875-nucleotide ribosomal RNA is filed under the name uncultured Brevundimonas sp. Its description in RNAcentral is "bacterial SSU rRNA". It matches the Rfam family "Bacterial small subunit ribosomal RNA", at positions 1 to 923 of the family's 1533-position model. Lineage: Bacteria; Pseudomonadati; Pseudomonadota; Alphaproteobacteria; Caulobacterales; Caulobacteraceae. The record is from RNAcentral.